RNAcentral lists this ribosomal RNA (460 nucleotides) under uncultured bacterium. Its description in RNAcentral is "partial 16S ribosomal RNA". It matches the Rfam family "Bacterial small subunit ribosomal RNA", at positions 338 to 795 of the family's 1533-position model. The record is from RNAcentral.
CCUACGGGUGGCAGCAGUGAGGAAUAUUGGUCAAUGGACGGGAGUCUGAACCAGCCAAGUAGCGUGAAGGAUGACUGCCCUAUGGGUUGUAAAUUUUUUUUAUAUGGGAAUAAAAUGUUCCACGUGUGGGAUUUUGUAUGUACGAUAUGUAUAAGGAUCGGCUAACUCCGUGCCAGCAGCCGCGGUAAUACGGUGGAUCCGAGCGUUACCCGGAUUUAUUGGGUUUAAAGGGAGCGUAGGUGGAUUGUUAAGUCAGUUGUGAAAGCUUGCGGCUUAACCGUAAAAUUGCAGUUGAAACUGGGAGGCUUGAGUACAGUAGAGGUGGGCAGAAUUCGUGGUGUAGCGGUGAAAUGCUUAGAUAUCACGAAGAACUCCGAAUGCGAAGGCAGCUCACUGGACUGCAACUGACACUGAGGCUCGAAAGUGUGGGUAUCAAACAGGAUUAGAUACCCUUGUAGUC